CCUGAGCCAACCCGCAAGGGAGGCAGGGCCCCAAGGAGUGGCUGGUAACUGGGGUGAAGUCGUAACAAGGUAGCCGUAGGGGAACCUGCGGCUGGAUCACCUCCUUUCUAAGGAA
RNAcentral lists this ribosomal RNA (115 nucleotides) under Polyangium spumosum. RNAcentral's name for it is "partial 16S ribosomal RNA". It matches the Rfam family "Bacterial small subunit ribosomal RNA", at positions 1429 to 1533 of the family's 1533-position model. Lineage: Bacteria; Pseudomonadati; Myxococcota; Polyangiales; Polyangiaceae. The record is from RNAcentral.